AUAAAUAUUUAUUUUAUUCUUUAGCUCAACAAAGACAAAAAUAAAUAAAUAAUAAACUUAACAAAAUUUACUACUUCACAAUUAAACAAUAAGCACUAAAUAUAAUAAACAAAUGUUAUAAAAAAAUGAUGAAGAUGUACAUUUGUUCUAAUAUGUUAGUCGCAGAACUUGACAAAAUAUCAAAGCCAAUAAAAGUAAUUCAUUUAUUUACAGAUUUGCUGAAACUUUAGUGUUUGAAGUGAUCUGAUAUUGUCAAAUACUAUUACUUAAAAAUAUGCCAAUUUUAACAGCAUUUAACAUGAGGGAUCACAAACCAACGCAUUUCAGAUAAAUUGGUGACAACUGCUAAUAAGCACAAUCUACUUAAAAUAAGAUAUGGUGUCCACCAAGCAUACAAAAGUGAGCCAGUGUGGAGAUCUUAUUUUAGCAAGAAUCAUCCAAUCAACAUGUUUAAGUUCAAAAGCAGAACUUAUUAAAAUACUGAAAAACAAAAAUUUUAUGAUUUACUCUGUAAAUGAGACAGAAUUAUGAAGAUAAGUAAUAUGCACAAUACAUUAUGCACCAGAGAUCCUCUAUUUAAUCUAAUCAGUCUUACUUCUGACAAUUUAGAAAUAAGGAGAUGUGGUAUGAUUGUCCAUGAGAAAACUAGCAAACUGAGUCUGAAUGAUGUGAAUGUAUGCAACCAUAAACUGUAAUCAAAUCUUUGAAAAUUUAUUAAAGAUUAACAUUUAUUAUAAUAUGUAUAAAUCAUUUGCAGAAGGAUUUACCAGUAUUAUCUUGAGGCCAAAAUUCAAUAUGUUUAUGGAGUCUUACUUUAAUGUCAAAGACAACUAUUGGUACUCAAUUAUCUGAAAGCAGAGGGCAUAAUAAAGCCUCUUUCAUGAUCCCUGGAAUUUGAAAAUCAUAUCGUAAUUCAAAUCUUCAGAUUUUCACAUUAAAUUUAUAAUAAUAUUUUUGUCUUGAGAUUUUAUAGUAGAUGUUAAUUUGAUAAUUUCUUUAAUUUGUUUUUGAUAAUGUUUUAUUUUAUGUAAGCAUGUAUGUAUGGCCUCUAGGCCUUCAAAGAAUUUUGAAAUUUAACAUGUUUCAGGAGACACUUUUCAUCUUUUUAUGCACCCAGUGUUCUGCCUUUCUAUUGUAGAUAUAAAAUGACUUUUUACUCAUAUUAACUCUUGAUUUUGUUUAUGAUUCAACUAAUAGGAAAAAAUAAUUAAAGACUUCUUCAGUUGGAAAAAUCAAUAUAAAAUACUGUCAAACCAGGUCACAAAGGCAGAUUUACAGAAUCCUUGCAGAUGUGUUUAGAUAGCACUUUGAAUGAAGCAAUGCAAAAUAAAAAAAAAAACCAAACACUUUAAAUAAACCAAUGCAAAAAAGGCAUUUGGAUAAAGCAAUGCAACAACAGCACUUAAAAUGAAGCAAUACAGAAAUUAGCACUUUAAGAGAAGUAAUGUAGAAACAAUUUCAUAAAUAAACUACUGUGGAUUCAUUAUUAUUUGUUGGAUACCAAUUUCAAGUGGAUUUC
This 1519-nucleotide long non-coding RNA is filed under the name Mytilus galloprovincialis (Mediterranean mussel). Lineage: Eukaryota; Metazoa; Mollusca; Bivalvia; Mytilida; Mytilidae. The record is from RNAcentral.